UUGAAUAUCCCAGACCACCACUCCAAGGUGGUUUACCUUUGUAUCAGCCUGGUGGGAGCCUGGCUUCAUGGGGAUCUUCACCUCCAACAGCAAAUGGUUCCGGGCUUGGCAUGCCAAUGUAUUGGCAAGGUUUUUAUCCACCUUCUGGUGGUAUGCCCGGUGGAUUACCUGGUGGUAUGCCUGGUGGAUUACCUGGUGGUAUGCCCGGUGGAUUACCUGGUGGUAUGCCUGGCGGAUUGCCCGGUGGGAUUUCUCAUUUGCAGCCACCACCCCUUUUACGCCCACCACCUGGUCUGUCAAUGCCAUAUUCCAUGCAGCAGCCUUUUCAAUAUCCUGGAAUUAAUGCUUCUUUGCCUUCUGUACCUCAGAAUAUAUCUGGAUCAAAU
Molecule: long non-coding RNA, 386 nt
Filed under: Zostera marina
Lineage: Eukaryota; Viridiplantae; Streptophyta; Magnoliopsida; Alismatales; Zosteraceae
Description: long non-coding RNA (ZMAR_LNC001070)
Source: RNAcentral